CGUGUCCUCCCCUCCCCAGCAGGAAAGAGCUGGCAGAGUGGCCACGGGUGCAUUUUAGGACACGAGUGCCCUGCCGUGCCUCUCGGUCUGCCUGUGCACAAGCCCCAGUGCCGAGCUACACCGUCACCAACCCUGCCUUCUCCAGAAGCAUUAACUUAUGCACACACCAUUCACCAAUUGUUCAGCGUUUUUGUCAAUGAAUCCACAUUUUAUGAAUUAGAACAGACCAUGCCCCCUUGUGGCUUGACUUGGCUCCCUUUUCCAGGCUGCGAGCCCCCUCAGCACCCGAGUUGGGGUGACUCCGGUGGGGAGAGGUCGUGCUGGACCCUGCCCCUCGGCCACAGAUAUCCCCCGGAGGGGGUGUCCGGGCGUCUGAGCGCCGAGCCGAGGGGACAGCGUGCGAGAAACAGCGGCUGCUGAAGGAGGAGGAGAGGGAUAUUUAUUUCUCCACAGCUUUAGGAAGGGUUUAGCUAAUUUAAUCGGGCUGAAAAGCAGCGCGGCUGACACGCAGGCAGAAUGCAGUCCCCUGGUUAUCCGUGGAGCAGGUACAGCAGAGUAAAUGGCUCCUGCCUGACCUAUAUGGCUCUGACGUUCGCUAGAGAGCACGGGUGGAGCUGAUGCUUCGCAGCCUUCCCUCUCCUAACCCCUUCCAGUCCCUAACACGGGAUUUUCUAGGUUACGGUAGCACUUUAAUUACCUGAACCAGUUUCUGCUGAGACCCGAAAUGAUCCCCACGACCUAAAGCACAGAGGGAAUCCUGAGGGGACCUGGGUACGGCGCUUUGAUUUGGGGACUGAAAGAACAAAGUGCACCCACCACGGGAGGAGAGGCGAAACCGCCGGUGCAGAGCCCGCAGAUGAAACCGAUUUACAAUUAGGGUCACAUCCCGCAGUCAUCACUCACAGCAAAACCCAAGGAAAGGGAAGGAAGAACAAACCUCCCCAAGCCAGCGAGAGCCCCAGCACCGCAGGUUUGUCAUCUGCUGGCCUGUGCCUGGGGCUGGAGCGGGGCCCUGAGCCCGGCCACCGCGUCUCGCCUUGCCUCGGCGAGGCUGUGCACAGCCAGCACUUGGUUCUGCACCUCCUGGGGGCCGUGUGGCUGAAUUAUUGAUGGCGGGAGGUGAAAAGCAAUAAACAAGAAAUCAGCCAAAUUGCUAGCGUGAGGGAAGAACAGGAAUGCAGCAGAGGAAAGCAGCUUCCUAAGAUGUCUUCCUUGGGGCCAGGGGUUCCCAGGAAGAGAAGGGGAGUCAGCACUUGGAGGAAAAACCAUAAGCACCACCUGUUCACAGGAGAAAAUUACCAGGACUGCAGCUGAGGGCUGCAAAUUUCACCUCUGCUUUCCAAAGGUACAACACACACGAUGCUGUCCAGGAGAAGGCAAAGGUGGUUUUGCCCUGAUGGAUUUGGAGCUCCUGUGAGAGAUGUCUGGGGGGCAGCUUUGGGUAGCAAAAGCAUCCUGAGGCUGUGAUAUAGCCCGGAAUAUCUUUGGUGCUCCAUGCUACAUAGAUAUUAACUCUGCCACAUCCCUUGUCUCACGGCCACUAAACUAAUGAAGGAAUUAGCACAAAGAUGCCUCUACCGAGAUGCAGCUUUCCCUGACGUUGGCGGCACCACUCCCGCCCUGUUUGCCAGCAGAAAUGGGAGCAGAGCAGAGAGGUCGGGGGAUUUUCCCUUUUGCUCACAAACACACUUGGCCUGAUAUUUCUCCCCCCUGAAGAAAU
Non-coding RNA from Anas platyrhynchos (mallard), 1720 nucleotides. NCBI's taxonomy places the organism in Eukaryota, Metazoa, Chordata, Aves, Anseriformes, Anatidae. The record is from RefSeq and is a predicted model, not a curated record.